UUUAAUUGCGAUCUGGUUGGAGAUCGAAUAUUUAGAGAGAUUAAUUUUAGCUUUGAAUUUAUUAUGUUUUUAGAAUAUAUGUUAAUUUUUGUGUUAAUUUAUCUUGAAGAUAAAAGGGUGCAGUAUUUAAUAUUAAUAAUGAAGGAAAUUUUGAAUUAGUAAAAAGUAUUAUUAUAGAAUAAUUUUGUGCCAGCAUUUGCGGUUAUACAAAAUAUAUAAAUAAAUUUUAUUAGUAAGUAGUUAGAUUGGAUAAUAUUAAUAUAUUUUUUACAAAUUUAGGUUAAAUUAAUUUGUGCAUUGUUGUUAAGAUUUUUUAAUUGAAGCUAUGAAACUUAAAGAUUAAACUAGGAUUAGAUACCCUAUUAUUUUAUAGUAUAAAUUUACUACUAGGACAUUAAUAGAUAUGAUCUUUAAAUCUAAAAAAUUUGGCGGUAUUUUAGUCUAUUUAGAGGAACCUGUUAUGUAAACGAUAGUCCACGAUUAAUUUUACUUGCUUUAGUUCAAUUUGUAUACCGUCGUUAUCAGAAUAUUUUAUCAGAAUAUAAUUUUCUAGACUUAUGAGUUAAUAAUAUUUCAGAUCAAGGUGCAGUUUAUGGGUAAGAAUAAAUGGGUUACAAUAAAUUUAUUUAAAUGGAUAUUUUUAUGUAAAUAAAAUUGAAGGUGGAUUUAAUAGUAAUUUGAUUUAGAUAGAUAAGAUGAUUUUAGCUCUAAAAUAUGCACACAUCGCCCGUCGCUCUUUUUAAAUAAGGAUAAGUCGUAACAAAGUAGAUGUACUGGAAAGUGUAUCUAGAAUG
This 794-nucleotide non-coding RNA is filed under the name Dilar sp. YW-2016. The record is from RNAcentral. Lineage: Eukaryota; Metazoa; Arthropoda; Insecta; Neuroptera; Dilaridae.